AAUGCUGUACUUAGUUGGUCUGU
This 23-nucleotide non-coding RNA is filed under the name Cricetulus griseus (Chinese hamster). Lineage: Eukaryota; Metazoa; Chordata; Mammalia; Rodentia; Cricetidae. The record is from RNAcentral.